GACGAACGCUGGCGGCGUGCUUAACACAUGCAAGUCGAACGGUGAAGCGCCUUCCUUUUUGGUGGGUGUGGAUGAGUGGCGAACGGGUGAGUAACACGUGAGUAACCUGCCCCCUUCUUCUGGAUAACCGCAUGAAAGUGUGGCUAAUACGGGAUAUUCUGGGUCUGUCGCAUGAUGGGUCUGGGAAAGAUAUUGUUUCGGUGGGGGAUGGGCUCGCGGCCUAUCAGCUUGUUGGUGGGGUGAUGGCCCACCAAGGCGGUGACGGGUAGCCGGCCUGAGAGGGUGGACGGUCACACUGGGACUGAGACACGGACCAGACUCCUACGGGAGGCAGCAGUGGGGAAUAUUGCACAAUGGGCGCAAGCCUGAUGCAGCGACGCCGCGUGAGGGAUGGAGGCCUUCGGGUUGUGAACCUCUUUCGCCAGUGAAGCAGGCCUGCCUCGUUUGUGGGUGGGUUGACGGUAGCUGGAUAAGAAGCGCCGGCUAACUACGUG
Molecule: ribosomal RNA, 494 nt
Filed under: uncultured bacterium
Lineage: Bacteria
Description: partial 16S ribosomal RNA
Rfam family: Bacterial small subunit ribosomal RNA
Source: RNAcentral